GAGCUUUGGAUAGUCUGUGAAUUAUUACACUGCAAUAGAUCACAGUUUCGUGUGCAUUAAUGUUUUCUAUUUGUCAAUGUUAGACAUUAUGAAGAAAAUAAUCUUCUUGAAGUGGAAAGGAAAGCAUUUUAAGCGUCUCCAUCAUCAGGGUUCAGAGGAGGGGCUCCAGGAUGUCACAAACCCCCCAUUUCCAUCUCAUCCUGCUGUUCAACAGCCAACUUCAACUGAAAGUCUGGAGGAUGUUGUGUUUGUUGAUGAGCAGAUGUGUGCCUGGAAAAAGCCGGAGUAUGUUCAGCCGGAACAGGUUCCUUAUGAUGAGCACAGGUACAGAGCCCAACAGCAUGGGGGCCAGUACGGGGGCCACUGUAAAAGUGGCCCUACGGUAUUUAAUGAUGUCAGGCAUGGGGCACCAAACAUUGAGGACC
Molecule: long non-coding RNA, 425 nt
Organism: Gouania willdenowi (blunt-snouted clingfish)
Lineage: Eukaryota; Metazoa; Chordata; Actinopteri; Blenniiformes; Gobiesocidae
Source: Ensembl